UACAGAGGUCCCAAGCGUUGUUCGGAUUCACUGGGCGUAAAGGGUGCGUAGGUGGUGAGGUAAGUCGGAUGUGAAAGCUCGGAGCUCAACUCCGAAAUGGCAUUGGAAACUACCUUGCUCGAGGGUUGGAGGGGGGACUGGAAUGCUUGGUGUAGCAGUGAAAUGCGUAGAUAUCAAGCGGAACACCAGUGGCGAAGGCGAGUCCCUGGACAACUCCUGAUACUGAGGCACGAAAGCUAGGGGAGCAAACAGG
This 253-nucleotide ribosomal RNA is filed under the name uncultured bacterium. RNAcentral's name for it is "partial 16S ribosomal RNA". It matches the Rfam family "Bacterial small subunit ribosomal RNA", at positions 524 to 776 of the family's 1533-position model. The record is from RNAcentral.